GUUGCGACGGAUUUUCGUUGUCUGUCUCUCUGGUGUUCAUAUCAUACGUUACAAACAACGCCAGUAUUUACAUAAGCGACAUCACGUCAGUACAGUAGCUAACACUGGUGGCAGUUCCUGUUAAAAUAUGCUUUUGUCACCGUUGAUAUUUUAACAUGUCACAGCAAGAGAAGCACAGGUGCCAUUAAUAUAACUGAUAACGGCUGCAUUACAUUCAGUCCAAUAUUGUGCGUGCUAGCUCACUAACAUAGUUGACACACUUAAAUGGAGCAAUUUUUUCAUUAGUGGUGAUAAUUUUACUUGUGCUUAUUAAUUAUACUUGUUUGACUAAAACUGACGUGAAAAAUGCUAGUAACACACCUGAAAUUAAACUGUUGAAGGAAGCAGUGAAAUAUCCACUUGAGCCACUGUCAGUGUCAGCAUCGUCUUCCUCUUCUGAAUCUCUCUGGCUUUCAUCUGACAUUGUUAAAACAUGGUAUCUCACACAGCUUUGAUGUAGUAUUUAUUUACAGUGUAAAGUGUGCCUCUCACUUCCAUCAUGGCAACUGAGGGGUGUGCUUUAAAGAGGCUAAUCUGCUAAGAGGAUUCAAGAGUUCUCCAACUUCACAAUAAAGUUUUAUGGAUAUCAGCAGUUCCAGCCUUCUAGAAGUCUCUGGGUGCUGCCUGGGAGCUCCACAUGUAGCUCUGCUGAGGGACAUUAUAACCUCUUGUGAACCAAUGAAGAAACCUGGGAGGGAAUGAAUAUCCAGCACACAGGCAGAUAAUUACAAUUUCAAAACCAUUUGCCAGAUCAUUACCAGCUAAUCCCAUGUUUGGUCUGAUGAGUCACGCACCUCAUUUGCCACGGUGCAGGGCAGCUUGGGACUCUUUCACAAAUACUAGCCAAGGACCACUGGUCUGCCCUGUAGGGCCACCGGACCGCUGGGGUUGGGGUUGAGGGUGGGUGGUGGGGUGUUCCUCUGGGAUAAGCAUGGAUCACAAGACCCAACAGAGUGGAAAUUGUUGUGUGAGUGUUGUGUGAAGCUGGAUGAGAUUUUUAAUUAUUAUUUAGACUUAUGUUCGCUGUAAAAGACUGUAUCCACUGUGACUAAUUGUCAUCAUUAUCUUGUCUGAAGCAUAAAAAGCUUUUCACCGGUACAGUUCAUACUACCUACAUUUGAAAUGUUGCUUUGCUGAAAUAAAUUAAUUACCCUUUUAUUUGUGUUUAUUUAAGUCAUGCCUAAUUAAAAA
Molecule: long non-coding RNA, 1230 nt
Organism: Lates calcarifer (barramundi perch)
Lineage: Eukaryota; Metazoa; Chordata; Actinopteri; Centropomidae
Exons: 3
Source: RefSeq, a predicted model, not a curated record